GGUUUCGUGGUCUAGUCGGUUAUGGCAUCUGCUUAACACGCAGAACGUCCCCAGUUCGAUCCUGGGCGAAAUCAAUUUUUUU
RNAcentral lists this transfer RNA (82 nucleotides) under Saccharomyces cerevisiae (brewer's yeast). RNAcentral's name for it is "tRNA-Val(AAC)". The record is from RNAcentral. Lineage: Eukaryota; Fungi; Ascomycota; Saccharomycetes; Saccharomycetales; Saccharomycetaceae.